Cryptotermes secundus is the source of this 3007-nucleotide long non-coding RNA. RefSeq lists it as uncharacterized. The transcript is spliced from 3 exons. The record is from RefSeq and is a predicted model, not a curated record. NCBI's taxonomy places the organism in Eukaryota, Metazoa, Arthropoda, Insecta, Blattodea, Kalotermitidae.
UGAAGGUUAAUAAGUAUUAGAAAUACUUAGAUAUGUGAGAUAUCUUGAAACAUAGAAUCGCUCUUGGAUACAUAGUGAUAUGAUGCACCAGUUAAUGUAUCCGAGCUGUGCCAGAAUCUGGAGUGAGACGAUGCUUCAACUGAAGAGACAGGGUGCAGACUGAUAUUACCUGCUCCUUUAAGUGAAGAAUGUAGCUCUAGAUGAUAGUGACAGAUAAUUGAGAGUGGGUGCAGGAGGGAGGAGUGGAUUUGAUUCUACGUAUGUGGUAUGCGCCUACUGUUCAGGAGAAUCCACGUCCUCUCAGAUAACAUUAUGGGUCUGAAUAUGUGAGUUCCAUUUAUGUGCUUGCACCAUGAUGUGCAGGAAACCAGGGCAGUCAGUGUAUGGAAGAGUGGUAAUAUAACUCCAAGAUUAUGUACAGUUCCCUACACCUCCAGUGUUACUUACCAUAAGUAAACCAGACCAGCCUUCAGGAAUACUAAGCACUGUGAAGUAUAGAAUUCUGUAAGUUUGAGGUCCUUGGGGAAUUUUGAAGAGUUGGAUGUGUGCAAAAUGUUUGUGAUAGCAUGAACCUGCAGUGUCUUAGUCAUUGAUGUUAUGCCCCAGUUGUUAUAACCUCAGGUAACUGAACUAGGCCCUUCCCUGUCCGAAUGCACAGUGAUAUGCAUCAUGAACACAGUGUGACAGGUUUUAUCUCCAUCAUGCAGUAUUAUGUUAUCGUAGGAAAAUAAAAGUUAUGUUGGUGUGGGCUUCUGUGGAAUAGUAUUCAUACCAUGUAAACGAAUUUCCCUUGAAUCCACUGGUACUAAUUGUAUGAUUAAUGUUAUUAUUUGUGCCCUGUUAGUGAAACAUGUAGGUUGUACAGUUGUGUUUCUUGUGUUAUCGCACAAUUUGGAGGGUGAUGACAGUUACCAAGUAGUGUGUAGUGUUUGACUGGAUUUCUUUAGACUUGAAUGAGUUUGAUGGUUAUGUACAGUAGAUUAUUCUAGUGAGAGGAACAAAGUAAGUAUUCAGUGGCAGGUUGAGAUGUGAGGUUAACCGGAGUUUGUUGGACAGAUUACCCUCGUCUUGAUUAAUGUUUAUGAAGCAUGUCAUUGAGCAUUUUAUCAUCCCACAACUGUGCAGAAGUAAUGAUGGAAUUUAGUUUAAUGGAAUGAAUUUAGACAUCAGAUAUUAAUAUUGUCCCCUGAUAUUACUGGAAAUGCACUCGUAUCAUUUGCUAGUAUUUUCAUUCUGUUCUACUAGUGUGAAGAUUAUAUUGCUCUUAAUGAUUAUGUGUGCUUAUACAUAACAUCUGUGAAUGCAGUUGUGCUGAGUUUUUGUUUAUAGUAGAGACAUGAUUACUGCUUGUUGUGGGCCUAAACCUUAGCAAUGGCAUUAAGUGACUGAUUGAAUGUUAAGAAGCAGUGUUGCGGCAGCAGAAUGUGAAGGUUGAAAGUCACAGUCACAGAGAUGUUCAUUAGAUGUGAUUUAUAGCCAGUUGAAUCGAGCUGUGAUGCAAAUAUCUGCUUAUUGAUACCUCCCGUUUUAAAUGUUAUUCAGCCAUGAGGUGUUCCAUCUUGCAAGGAGGUUUCCCCACAGAAAAUUUGGUAUGAAUGUUAUGUGCCCUGUAAUGCUUCCUACUUGUGAGGCAAUUGAAGUGUCAGAAAUUCUGGGUGAUAUACUGUAUUUAUAGUUAGUUCAGUGUCCUGAAUUGCUGAGAUGUGAUCCUUCUUAGGUGUAAAUAUCUUCCUGAUAAUUUUGUUUGUCUUGUGAUGAGUAGGUAAUAAAUAUGUGACACCAUGGAGUUAGGUGUUGUGAUGAAUGAGAAAUAUUAAUGUCUGUGAACCAAGUUAUAAUGGUUUCUGUUAUGGAGCAUGGUGUUUUCAUACUGUUAGCUUUGGGUGUUUGAGUUGCAUUGCACAUAAUUCUUUAAUCAUAAGAGCUCCAAGGACCCUAUUAGUGAAGUCGAAGUACUAGUUUUCUAGUAUCCAGUGCCGUGGUGCAUGAAUCACAGAGUUCCAUGUACCCUAACAUUAAGGAUGUGGCCUCACACACAUUCUUGCACUAAGUAUGAUAACUCGUAGAAUUGAUUCCACUUCAGUUGUUUUCUUUUGAUGUCAGUGUCAGGCUCUUUGUGAAUAUGAGUGUUUCACAUUCAUAAGGCUGACCAUACUACUUCAGUUAUAUGAUACUUAUUAAUGUGAUUGAUAAAAUUCACAGUACGUGAAUUUGUUUAUUGUAAAUUAUAAUUUUAAUUUCCAAUGGAUGCAUCCUGUAGUGUUAAAUAUAUAAAUUUCUUUAUUAAAAUCCAUCACAGUAACACAACAAAACCGUUGAUGUUUAACAGUACUUUGGUACAUGUUUUGGGUUUUUAGAGAGCCUUUAUCAGGGAAAUACACAAUUAACACGUUCCAAAGCUAUUGAAUUGCACACUGUAUAUUUCAGUACAUUAUUAUUGGAUUUACGACAAUAUACCAUGAUAUAAUCCACAAUCAGCUUUGCUACCAGACGGGACAUAAUAAACGUAAAUAGAGGUACCUGUCAAAUAUUAUCUUUAUAUUACUUCCACAUAUGAAAACUAGAUAAUACUGCAUGCAUACCAAUGGGCCUCCAAGCAUUUUAAUCACUUAACACAUGUUUAAGAGCAAGAAAACUAUCGCCAUAUGUCCACAAAAACAAUACGACUUAAACAUUGCGAUUGCAACAACCUACCUUAAUCUUAUCUCAUUUGAAAUCAUUACUCUUUAUUGUAUUUUAUGUUUUAUAUUAUUAUAUUAUGGUAUAUUGUUGAAAAUCCGUGGUAAGAAUGUUGACAUUUAAUAUCGGGAACUUUUGAAGAUCGUUUAUGUCAUAAGACCUCUCAUACACGGAAACGCGUGGAAAACUAUAUUGUGACAUGUGUAAUAUUUGUAUAGUAUUCUCAUAGAUUUUGGGGUACCAACAAAUCUAGUUAUGUUGAUUAAGAUUUGUGAAAUGUGUUGUAAAGGCCAUAUAGGUAAAGUUUUCUGGUGUGUUUUCUGUCUGA